GCUACCAUGCAGUCGAACGGCAGCACAGUAAGAGCUUGCUCUUAUGGGUGGCGAGUGGCGGACGGGUGAGGAAUACAUCGGAAUCUACUUUUUCGUGGGGGAUAACGUAGGGAAACUUACGCUAAUACCGCAUACGACCUACGGGUGAAAGCAGGGGAUCUUCGGACCUUGCGCGAUUGAAUGAGCCGAUGUCGGAUUAGCUAGUUGGCGGGGUAAAGGCCCACCAAGGCGACGAUCCGUAUCUGGUCUGAGAGGAUGAUCACCCACACUGGAACUGAGACACGGUCCACACUCCUACGGGAGGCAGCAGGGGGGAAUAUUGGACAAUGGGCGCAAGCCUGAUCCACCCAUACCGCGUGGGUGAAGAAGGCCUUCGGGUUGUAAAGCCCUUUUGUUGGGAAAGAAAUCCAGCCGGCUAAUACCUGGUUGGGACCACGGUACCCAAAGAAUAUGCACCUGCUUUCUUCUUGCCAUCA
RNAcentral lists this ribosomal RNA (476 nucleotides) under Stenotrophomonas sp. Its description in RNAcentral is "bacterial SSU rRNA". It matches the Rfam family "Bacterial small subunit ribosomal RNA", at positions 46 to 513 of the family's 1533-position model. Lineage: Bacteria; Pseudomonadati; Pseudomonadota; Gammaproteobacteria; Lysobacterales; Lysobacteraceae. The record is from RNAcentral.